GAGUUUGAUCCUGGCUCAGGACGAACGCUGGCGGCGCGCCUAACACAUGCAAGUCGAACGAGCGAGAGAGAGCUUGCUUUCUCGAGCGAGUGGCGAACGGGUGAGUAACGCGUGAGGAACCUGCCUCAAAGAGGGGGACAACAGUUGGAAACGACUGCUAAUACCGCAUAAGCCCACAGCUCGGCAUCGAGCAGAGGGAAAAGGAGCAAUCCGCUUUGAGAUGGCCUCGCGUCCGAUUAGCUAGUUGGUGAGGUAACGGCCCACCAAGGCGACGAUCGGUAGCCGGACUGAGAGGUUGAACGGCCACAUUGGGACUGAGACACGGCCCAGACUCCUACGGGAGGCAGCAGUGGGGAAUAUUGCACAAUGGGGGAAACCCUGAUGCAGCGACGCCGCGUGGAGGAAGAAGGUCUUCGGAUUGUAAACUCCUGUUGUUGAGGAAGAUAAUGACGGUACUCAACAAGGAAGUGACGGCUAACUACGUGCCAGCAGCCGCGGUAAAACGUAGGUCACAAGCGUUGUCCGGAAUUACUGGGUGUAAAGGGAGCGCAGGCGGGAAGGCAAGUUGGAAGUGAAAUCCAUGGGCUCAACCCAUGAACUGCUUUCAAAACUGUUUUUCUUGAGUAGUGCAGAGGUAGGCGGAAUUCCCGGUGUAGCGGUGGAAUGCGUAGAUAUCGGGAGGAACACCAGUAGCGAAGGCGGCCUACUGGGCACCAACUGACGCUGAGGCUCGAAAGUGUGGGUAGCAAACAGGAUUAGAUACCCUGGUAGUCCACACUGUAAACGAUGAUUACUAGGUGUUGGAGGAUUGACCCCUUCAGUGCCGCAGUUAACACAAUAAGUAAUCCACCUGGGGAGUACGACCGCAAGGUUGAAACUCAAAGGAAUUGACGGGGGCCCGCACAAGCAGUGGAGUAUGUGGUUUAAUUCGACGCAACGCGAAGAACCUUACCAAGUCUUGACAUCCUGCGACGCACAUAGAAAUAUGUGUUUCCUUCGGGACGCAGAGACAGGUGGUGCAUGGUUGUCGUCAGCUCGUGUCGUGAGAUGUUGGGUUAAGUCCCGCAACGAGCGCAACCCUUAUGGUCAGUUACUACGCAAGAGGACUCUGGCCAGGCUGCCGUUGACAAAACGGAGGAAGGUGGGGAUGACGUCAAAUCAUCAUGCCCUUUAUGACUUGGGCUACACACGUACUACAAUGGCGUUAAACAAAGAGAAGCAAGACCGCGAGGUGGAGCAAAACUCAGAAACAACGUCCCAGUUCGGACUGCAGGCUGCAACUCGCCUGCACGAAGUCGGAAUUGCUAGUAAUCGUGGAUCAGCAUGCCACGGUGAAUACGUUCCCGGGCCUUGUACACACCGCCCGUC
Molecule: ribosomal RNA, 1368 nt
Filed under: uncultured bacterium
Lineage: Bacteria
Description: bacterial SSU rRNA
Rfam family: Bacterial small subunit ribosomal RNA
Source: RNAcentral